GACGAACGCUGGCGGCGCGCUUAACACAUGCAAGUCGAACGGAAAGGCCCUGCUACUGUGGGGUGCUCGAAUGGCGAACGGGUGAGUAACACGUGAGUAACCUUCCCUUGACUUUGGGAUAACUUCAGGAAACUGGGGCUAAUACCGGAUAGGAGCUCCUGCUGCAUGGUGGGGGUUGGAAAUUUCCGGCGGUUGGGGCUGGACUCGCGGCUUAUCAGCUUGUUGGUGGGGUAGUGGCUUACCAAGGCAUUGACGGGUAGCCGGCCUGAGAGGGUGACCGGCCACAUUGGGACUGAGGUACGGCCCAGACUGCUACGGGAAGCAGCAGUGGGGAAUAUUGCACAAUGGGCGGAAGCCUGAUGCAGCAACGCCGCGUGCGGGAUGACGGCCUUCGGGUUGUAAACCGCUUUCGCCUGUGACGAAGCGUGAGUGACGGUAAUGGGUAAAGAAGCACGGGCUAACUACGUG
RNAcentral lists this ribosomal RNA (468 nucleotides) under uncultured bacterium. RNAcentral's name for it is "partial 16S ribosomal RNA". It matches the Rfam family "Bacterial small subunit ribosomal RNA", at positions 28 to 507 of the family's 1533-position model. The record is from RNAcentral.